AAGUUUUAUUCUAGCUUAAAUUUUUAAUUUUUGAAUUAUUUUAUAUGCUAAUUUUAGUGGGAAUUUAAUGUAUUUUAAAUAAAUAUAUUGGAGAUUUUAAUGCAAUAUUGAGGAUUAAAUAUAAAAGAAAUUUUGAUUUAGAAAUUCAUUGUAGUAUUAACAAAAUUUGUGCCAGCAGUUGCGGUUACACAAAUAAUACAAUUAAAUAUUAUAGGUUAAUAAUUAAUUUGUUUUUGUUUAUAGUAUUAAUUUAAAAUUGUUAGGUGAAAUUAUUAAUUUUAAUUUAAGCUAUAAAAUAGAAAUUGAAGUUAUGAAAUUUUUGUUAUAAACUAGGAUUAGAUACCCUAUUAUUAAAAAUUUAAAUUUGAAAUACCAGAUUAGUAAUAGUUAUGUUCUUGAAACUCAAAGAAUUUGGCGGUAUUUUAGUCUAUUCAGAGGAACCUGUUCUGUAAUUGAUAAUCCACGAUUAAUUAAACUUAUUUUAUUGGUUUGUAUAUCGUCGUAGUUUGAAUGUUUUAUAAGAAUAAUUAAUAUUCAAGAUUUAUAAUAAUAAAGAAAAUCAGAUCAAGAUACAGCGUAUAAAUAAGUAGAAAUGGGUUACAAUAAAAUUAUUUACAUGGUUAUUAUAAUUAACAUUAUAAUAUAAAGUGGAUUUGAAAGUAAUAUGAUUAAGUUAAAUUAUAUGAUUUUAGCUCUAAAAUAUGUACAUAUCGCCCGUCGCUCCCAUUAUAAGGUGGGAUAAGUCGUAACAGAGUAGGCGUACUGGAAAGUGUGCCUGGUAAGAC
RNAcentral lists this non-coding RNA (785 nucleotides) under Glycyphana fulvistemma. Lineage: Eukaryota; Metazoa; Arthropoda; Insecta; Coleoptera; Scarabaeidae. The record is from RNAcentral.